GUGUUUUAUUGUGUAUAUCAUAUACUAGAGCCAUAAGUAAGGCUCAACUGUACAAUUUGUGGGAAAAGGGUGCCGAAAAUUCACUUUAGCGAUACGGGUUGUAUAUAACUUUGGAUGAUUGAACAAAGAGCACAGAUCAAACUCACUGAAGAAACCACACGGCCUGCAUAUCCUGAUGGAAGUUUCUAGAACACCUGGAAGAACAAGCUCGUUGAGCCAUCCCCAAAUGUUCGGAUGUCGGCUGGUCUGACCAACGCUCUGCAUAAUGGGCAUGUUCUCUCUCUUUCAAACCUGUAAAGAGUUGUAUUUGUGGAGACUCAGACAAUGCAUAGAAGGAUCCAAUCUGAGACGUUAAGAAAGAGUAAAUAUCUAUGAAGCACGGGGAUGGCAUAUUGCAUCGAGUACCCGUACCGGGGACAGCUCGGGGACGGAAACGCGUAGGGGACGGUUCCCAAACGUACCCGGAUAUUGGGGGCUUCUACAAAACCGUACCCAAUAUUGGGUACUUCCAAAACAGAGUAUCGGGGACGUUUCCUAAAAUAUUUAGGGCUUUAACCCUUUUAACUUACAAAUACCUAAGUAGGCCUUUUAUAAUUAUAUAUGCUACGUCGGCCUUUUUUAUAAAUAUAUAUAUGCUAUUCUAAACAUUCACGUAUAACAAGUCUGAUCAUCAUCUCUAUUCAAGUAUUCAUCAUUCAUCGAAGAUGUUGGGUUUUGGAGGUUGCCGAUCUUACGCAAGAUGAACCGGAAUUUGAAAAUGUUUUGAUUAUUGAUAAUUAAUUACCUGUGGUUGAUGUAGUGUUUUUGGAGUUUAAUAUAUUUUUGUACUUUGUUUAAUAUAUUUUUAUUUUUUAAUAUUAUUCUUUUUGC
Molecule: long non-coding RNA, 870 nt
Filed under: Helianthus annuus (common sunflower)
Lineage: Eukaryota; Viridiplantae; Streptophyta; Magnoliopsida; Asterales; Asteraceae
Description: hypothetical non coding rna
Source: RNAcentral